Molecule: long non-coding RNA, 558 nt
Organism: Xenia sp. Carnegie-2017
Lineage: Eukaryota; Metazoa; Cnidaria; Anthozoa; Malacalcyonacea; Xeniidae
Exons: 3
Source: RefSeq, a predicted model, not a curated record
AGUGAGAGUGAUGCUAUCCAACAAUAUAAAAGAAGAGCCAUUUUAGCUUUUCUCUCAAUACUCACUGAGUCAACAAGAUCAAAGAAUCUGCUUAUUCAUCUCAAUUGGCAAGAAAAGAAAUCAAAAUGAACGCGAUUGCUAUAAAGUUGCUGUUGAUUGUCGUAGUCAUCUCAAGCGUAUUGUUGUUGGAAAUACAAUCGCGUGCAAUUGAGCAACCUUGGGAUGUUGAUGACGACUAUACUAGUGAUGAUUUCCGUGACCAUUUUGAUUCUUACUUGCACAUUCGACAACCGUUGACAUAUGGCAGGAGAAGAAUGAUGAAAGCACUUGCUAAAUCCGAUCGUAGUCAUCUUGGCAAAAAUUUACCUGUUCAAUCCCGUACUUUCUAUGAGAAUACAAAAAGAGAAGCUAGUGAAAGUCGUUAGUCUUAUGUAAAGAAGACUGAUAACGAAGAAACGUUUUUCUAUACAUUACAUCACGAUAUAGUAUUUACAUUUCAAAGAUAAAAUACAAAUUGUAACUUUGUGAAUUACACUUAAAUAAAAUGCUGGUUGUCAA